Molecule: ribosomal RNA, 243 nt
Filed under: uncultured bacterium
Lineage: Bacteria
Description: partial 16S ribosomal RNA
Rfam family: Bacterial small subunit ribosomal RNA
Source: RNAcentral
CCUACGGGGGGCAGCAGUGAGGAAUAUUGGUCAAUGGGCGCAAGCCUGAACCAGCCAAGUCGCGUGAGGGAAGACGGCCCUACGGGUUGUAAACCUCUUUUAUCCGGGAGUAAGCACGGACACGUGUAUCUUAGCGAGAGUACCUGAUGAAAAAGCAUCGGCUAAUUCCGUGCCAGCAGCCGCGGUAAUACGGAAGGUGCGAGCGUUAUCCGGAUUUAUUGGGUUUAAAGGGAGCGUAGGCCG